AUUUCUGGGCCGCCGCGGCGGGUCACGUGGCCCGGCCGGCUCCUCCCGGCGCCGGGUCCAGCCCCGGCCGCCCACUCCCUGCGACGCCCGGCGUCAGCCUCGCCCGCGGCCCGGCCUGGGGACCCUGGAGACCCUGGCGCCCCUCCGGCCCUCGGAGCUGCCCAGCCGCGGGCGGGUAGACGGACCACAGGCGGGACCGCGACGCCCCGCACCGCAGUCGGGCUUGGAGCCCACGCGCAGGCCACCAGGAAGGACCCUGGGCUCCGCAGAAGCCAGGCCACUGAGAACAGGGACGGCCGCGAAGACGGGUUUCAUCAUCUCCCAAGACGCUGUACCACCUACAGGAUGACACCCAAGCUCCUCAGCCUCUCCAAACUAGCCUCUCCAUGCACCUGGUGAAGCCUGUGGUUCUUCAAGCCCCGCUCAGAUUUCACCUCCUGAUAAAGUCCUCCCAGGCCCCGUAUCCACUCUUAUAACUCACUCAGCCUGAACUCAAAUAAAGUAAUUAGCAACAAAUCAGGGCUAACAUACCCACAAA
Long non-coding RNA from Marmota monax (woodchuck), 538 nucleotides. RefSeq lists it as uncharacterized. The transcript is spliced from 2 exons. Lineage: Eukaryota; Metazoa; Chordata; Mammalia; Rodentia; Sciuridae. The record is from RefSeq and is a predicted model, not a curated record.